CCAUGUUUAGUAAAAGCAUAUUCAAAAAACAAAGAAACAAAUAGGCGGACGCAAAAGUUCACAAAUAUUUACAGCAAGUCACUUCAUUACAUUAUGGCAUAUACAAAGUUAUCCUAAUUCAACCUCUCGCCACUUUGAUCACAACGGCUCCUCAUAAGUAUCACUUGUAUGGAUGCACAAAUUGUGUCUGCUUUCCCCACACACCACGCAUUUGCUAAUUUGUCCAGAUUUCGCACACAUCAUAACUCCGGGUUCUGCCAUAGAGACCACGGGUACCUCCACCAAAUGUAAUGGGGCUUUAUUGUGUG
RNAcentral lists this long non-coding RNA (308 nucleotides) under Mytilus galloprovincialis (Mediterranean mussel). The record is from RNAcentral. Lineage: Eukaryota; Metazoa; Mollusca; Bivalvia; Mytilida; Mytilidae.